This 522-nucleotide ribosomal RNA is filed under the name Triticum aestivum (bread wheat). RNAcentral describes it as "partial small subunit ribosomal RNA". Lineage: Eukaryota; Viridiplantae; Streptophyta; Magnoliopsida; Poales; Poaceae. The record is from RNAcentral.
AUGAAGGUGUCCAUUCCCACCAUAUCAGGCGCAGCUACUUCUGAGACCUCGGCCCGGGCCGAUGACCACGAGAUGGAAGAUGCAGCAACUUCGAAUCCAGCUCUACCCAACACUGUUAUCGAUCUUCCUGAUGAUGAUGAGGAUGAAGGGCCGCUGAAGCACAGGAGGAGUCGAAAAGCACCCGCCAGUAAGGUGCCUCAGGAUGUGUCAGCGCCUGAAAUUCUGACUGUGGAGGAAGAGAACACCACUCGACACACGGUGACCUUCGCGACCCCACUGACGAGUGCUCAGCAGCCCUCCCUCUUCACGACUCACCACGUCCCAGAGGACCAAGCUGGUGCAGCGAAGGAGGCAAUACGCCAGGCAGGACUCAUGAUGGAGCAGCUGAAGACAAUCCGGGAUGCGAGCCAGGCAGCUUAUGACGCCAGCUCUGCCCUCCAAAGUAAUGUCCAGGUCAGUCGACUGCUGUUUGUUCUGUUGGAUAUGCUACCAAAAACUUUUUUUUCCCGGGAUUUAUAUUAG